RNAcentral lists this transfer RNA (85 nucleotides) under Actinoplanes couchii. RNAcentral describes it as "tRNA-Pro". The record is from RNAcentral. Lineage: Bacteria; Bacillati; Actinomycetota; Actinomycetes; Micromonosporales; Micromonosporaceae.
CCGCUGCUGGACGGCGGGCGGGUGUUCGGGACGCUCGGGGUGUCCAGUUCCCGGCCGCUGGCGUUCGACGACGCCGACACCGAGC